AAUCGGUUGACAUAUUAUUCUUUACACUGUUGUGUUAGAGUAUAAAGUGACACUUAAAGUUAUUUUUUGUGUGUAAUUCGUUCUUCACUGCGCAUGCUCGCCGCAGCUUUGACUGUCACAUGUGCCGCUGUCUGUCUCGUGACAACAGGAAGGAGGAAUAACAACAGUGAGAGGAUGCUGCUGCUGCUUUGACACUUCGACACAGCUCUUAAUUUUUCAUUCAUAGAAAAAAACAGCAGACAACAAUGACUUCACUUAUCAAAGAAACACAAAGCAUAAAAGAAGCGGUGACUUUCAUCAACGCAAUUGAUGCGAACAAAUUCUCCAGGCUGAUCUCCCGCAUCAUCCAGAAGCUUCAUUUGAAGGGUGAGCGGACGUUCAGUGAAGAUGAGGAGCAAAAACUUCAGGUUGCCCUCUCGUUGGAUAAACAGGCUCUUAAUCUAGUCCUGGAAACUGCUGCCUUUAUACUAGAGCAGGCUGUGUAUCAUAAUAUGAAGCCAGCCUCUCUGCAGCAACAGCUGGAGACGGUUCAUCUAAAUCCAGAGAAGGCUGAGAUGUUCUCUCAGGCCUGGGCCUCAGCUGGACCUGAGCUGGUGGAAAAACUGAAGCACAAUGUCUUUGCCCCAAAGAAGCUGGAGUAUGUCGGCUGGCAGCUAAACCUGCAGAUGGCCCAGUCCAGCCAAGCCAAACUGAAGUCUCCCAGUGCUGUCCUCCAGCUGGGGCUCCGAAGUGAAGAAUCUGAGGUUAGAAUAACAUACGUUGAUGGAUGGAUGGAGGAGCAGGGGCAGGAGGAGAGGCAGUAAAGGGGUUGACAAUGAAGACGAGAGACACUGGGUCCAGGAAAAUGUCUUUGUUGAUUUUAACCACCAGGAGCUACUUGAGUUCUACAACAAGCUUGAAAUCGUGCAAGGACAGUUGGAUUCCCUGACUUGAUGCCUGGUGCACUCUCUCUCUCUCUCUCUCUCUCUCUCUCUCUCUCUCUCUCUCUCUCUCUCUCUCUCUCUCUCUCUCUCUCUCUCUCUCUCUCUCUCUCUCACACACUCACACACACACACACAGUGUUAGUGUUUUGCUGCCAGCUAUGCCAGCUGUUGGAGGCCUAGAAAGUCUGUUCUUGCUCUGAUUUAGUCUAGAAAAAUGUCAAAUUUUCCUAACCUUCUGAUCAACAUUUAAUUCAGGUUUGCACUCAUAACUUAGCGAUUUCAAGUAUUUUUAUGUCUUCAUCAAGGAGAUGGUGGGAAAUUUCACCCUGGCUAUGAUUAACUGUACUGAAACAAGUCUCUCAGUACCAGUAGCCUGUAGUUAGCAACUCCAUGUUUGAUUGCCCUGUAAAUUAGCUGUAAUAAGAUGUUUUAAUGUGCCAAUGUCAACGAUAAGGAAAAAAGGAAAUACAGGGAGAUUAAAUGGACAAAUGGAUUUUGUAACUUGGUGAAUGAACUAGUGUCCAUGCCAUUCUAAUAAAAUCUGAAGUGGAGGUGAAAUCCAUCCAAGCUGUUGUUA
RNA transcript from Acanthopagrus latus (yellowfin seabream), 1500 nucleotides. It is a transcript of the gene named COMM domain containing 10, with no coding region annotated. The record is from RefSeq and is a predicted model, not a curated record. Lineage: Eukaryota; Metazoa; Chordata; Actinopteri; Spariformes; Sparidae. The transcript is spliced from 8 exons.